RNAcentral lists this ribosomal RNA (253 nucleotides) under uncultured bacterium. RNAcentral describes it as "partial 16S ribosomal RNA". It matches the Rfam family "Bacterial small subunit ribosomal RNA", at positions 524 to 776 of the family's 1533-position model. The record is from RNAcentral.
UACAGAGGUCUCAAGCGUUGUUCGGAUUCAUUGGGCGUAAAGGGUGUGUAGGUGGCGCGCUAAGUCGGGUGUGAAAUUUCGGAGCUUAACUCCGAAACUGCAUUCGAUACUGGCGUGCUUGAGGACUGGAGAGGGAUGUGGAAUUCCAGGUGUAGCGGUGAAAUGCGUAGAUAUCUGGAGGAACACCGGUGGCGAAGGCGGCAUCCUGGACCGGUAUUGACGCUGAGGCGCGAAAGCUAGGGGAGCAAACGGG